Molecule: non-coding RNA, 750 nt
Organism: Podarcis lilfordi (Lilford's wall lizard)
Lineage: Eukaryota; Metazoa; Chordata; Lepidosauria; Squamata; Lacertidae
Source: the annotation of a GenBank genome assembly
GAGAAAUUAAUGGCAGUAUUCUCUCCCUUCCAUCUCCUUCUCUUUCUCAAGGACGGGGGAAAUGUCGUUUGAGUAUACACUUUUGCUCCAUGAAUGUCAGUGUGCAAUGGAUUCAAUGGAUGAGGAGGACAUUGAUUCUGAAUCAUCAAAUCGCUGUUUGUCUCGGAGAACUAAAAUAGCAACUCCAAAGGUUAACGUUCUGGGGAGAGAAGUGCUGAAGGGGUUAGGCUAGCAAAAGGGGGGACGGACCCAGUUCUGAUUAUAAUAACAGAGUCGUAGGUUAGCAAUACAGAAAAUUAUGCCCAUUCUUUCUCAUGCCACUUGUAUUCAGCUUGAUUGGACAUGAUGUCUUGCUGGUACUGACACUGUCUGUCCAGGAUACUAAUAUUUGUAUCCCAGAGGGCAAAAUCUUCAAUGGAUCUUUUCCGAGUGCUUCUCUCACAUUUUGAUAAUGGGUAAACCAGUUAAAAGUUUGUCCCCCCCCAAAAAAAAAUAGGGAGGAAAGGUGAGUGUUCAUCCACAUUGAUAGGUAUGUGCCAUUGAUAGAAGGUUCGUGCCAAUGCCAUCCUAACUUCAUUCUUCCUCUCUGCCCAGAGUGCUGCAAAAGACUAAGAGGAUGUUCGUUUAAUUGGAAAGCCUACCACCGAGAUCUAAGGCAGCUGAGGCAAAGGAAGCACUCUUUCUUUGCUCAAUGGCACUGGCUGAAGGAUGUAUAUAAGGUGGCCUUAUUAAAGUGACAAGGCAAUUUAA